Molecule: unclassified non-coding RNA, 236 nt
Filed under: uncultured fungus
Lineage: Eukaryota; Fungi
Description: sequence contains ITS1, 5.8S rRNA gene
Rfam family: 5.8S ribosomal RNA (bases 188-236)
Source: RNAcentral
UCUCCGUUGGUGAACCAGCGGAGGGAUCAUUAAAGGAGCUUUAAACACUCCCAAACCCACUGUUAAACUUACCUUUACGUUGCUUCGGCAGGCAGCCCCAGGGCGGGGCUGUAGCCUUUUAGGUGCCUGCCGAAGUCUUUUAAAACUCGUCAUUUAUAGUGUCUGAGUAUCUAUACAAAUAAAUCAAAACUUUCAACAACGGAUCUCUUGGUUCUGGCAUCGAUGAAGAACGCAGC